Molecule: long non-coding RNA, 2876 nt
Organism: Triticum dicoccoides
Lineage: Eukaryota; Viridiplantae; Streptophyta; Magnoliopsida; Poales; Poaceae
Exons: 9
Source: RefSeq, a predicted model, not a curated record
ACACCAGCCACCACCCAAACCCUAGCCCCGUUUCCCCUCGACCCCCACAGCCUCGCCCGCCUCCUCCAUCCCUCCUCCUCGCCUCGCCACAGCCUCCGCCACGGAGCCUUGCCGCCGCCUGCGAUUCCUCCCUCCUGCCCGCAGAGCCCAUUGGGCUCGCCAACCCUAGCCCCAAUCCACAUCCCCUGCGCCCCUCACUGGUCCCUCCUCCUCCUUCCCUCGUCCGCCGCCUCGCUCUCUUGCUCUCCUCCCUCGUCGCCGUGGCCUUCUCCCUAGGAGCCCCGCCGCCUACUGCUGCUCCUCCACCACCUCGCUCUUUCUCCUCCUCGCCUUUCCAUCGCUCGCGCGCAGGUCACCGCUGUCGGCGAACGCGAGAGUGCGGGUCUUCAAGUUGGGGUGGUCAGGAGGGCUUCCCAACCUGACGGCGGCUCCUCCUCCUCGUAGAGUUGUCGCGUGUGCACCUUCUUCUCCUCCCUCCUCCCUCCCUCGUCACUACUUCCACCAGUCCCCUCCCUCCCUCGUCCGUGGCCGCUGCUGCCGCACGAAUCUCCUAGGUCAGGGAAAGGAAGAAGGCCUUGGCGAGUCGGCAGGGGUGGGUGGAGCGGCUGAUGCGGAUGGGGUCGGAGGUUGAGGGAGGGUUGCCGACCAGAGCAGCAGGAGCAAGAGCUUGAGAAGGUUCAGAUUGGAUACAAAUGGUUUAGCAAAGAGGGAGUGUGUAACCGCAUCAGAGAUUAGGCCAUCGAGCAAGAGUGUGUGACUAGGUUGUGCAAAUUUUCUCCCUGGAGGUAUGCCUCUGUCUAGACAGCAGCGGAAGCAGAGGAACCCCUCCUGGUCGAGCCCCCACCCUAUCCUCUCCACCUGCAGAGGAGAACCCCAUGAAAGCUAAAAGUUUGUGGAGGAGUGCUGGCACAGUUUUUUAGAGGGUGUUUCGGACUCAAGAUUAAUCUGGUAGUGCACGUGGUAUUGUUUGCCAUGACCAAGAAUAUCUGAUCUGCGCCAUGACAAUAUGGGCUUGCUGCAACCAGGCAGUUCUUUGUAGUAUGGUGCUUAGAUUUGGUUCCUGUGGUGAGCGUAUAUGGAGAGGCCAGAAGCAGUAGGGGUCGGCGGAGCGGCGGAUGUGGUCGACGGAGCAGCAGCGGUAGGAGCAAGGAGCUCGAGAUGGUUCAGGAAAAGUGCCUACAGAGAUUUCAGAACUAGAUAGAUGUGCAUUAUGAUAGUAUUGCUAAAGAACAUCAGAUGAUGCCACCAGGAGGGCUGCCGGCCCAAGACUAAAAUUUGGAAGGCAUAGAAAGAUGUUGUUUCAACUCCACCAGGUGCCAGCUCAAGGAUGUUACUCAUCGCUGCUGUGAAGGCCUCGCAGUGUGGUGUCGGUCGUUCACAUCUUAUAGAAUAUAUAAAUGACCAAAAACAUAAUGUCUGCAUCAUGUGAGGGUAUUACCGGUGAGGGUAUUUCUUGCUUGUGAGCUUGGGCUUGAUUCUGAAGUUAAGUAUUAAGAUGUUAGGGUAAAUUUUUAUCAAAGCUUGCUUUGUCCAUAGUCAUACCUAAUUGAGUUGCUUCAUUUCGGCAUUUCGUAUACCCGUAUUGUUACUUCCCCUAGAACAUGUCUAUGUUCCCCUAGACACAGGUGAAAUUAUUUGCCAAGCUACAAACCUUAGCAGAACUCUUGCUGGUCAUGAACUCAAACAUACCUAUUGCUACUCCUUGGUUCAAGUAUGUUUUGAUCGGUGUUACUCCUUGUGGCUUUAUUCGCCGCCAUGGUUGCUGUUUAACAUUUUUCUUUGUUCUUGAGGGUCUAUCAUUCGCAAGGUUGCUACUUUUUAGUUCUCAUCUAUAAGGUUCAUAUCUUUCCUCCCCUCUUGGAUUGUUGCAUCCUUAUUGUGUCUCAUCAUUAAGCUAGUGCAUAUAAGUAUUAAUUUGUUGAUUUCUGCUAAAGUACCGCUGAAACUUCAAAUUCUGUAUACUUUGCUUUUGGCUAUACACAAGAAUACAGUACACACAUUUGAUUAUUGAUUUAUUGUGAAGACACCACUGUGCAUGUUUUAUCUUAUGUUAUUGCUAAAACCUAAUUUUAUCAUCAAAGCAUAACAUGGUUUUCAUUGGAACUUUGUGUUACCAAAUUUAAAUGUGUGUGUACAUCGUAUUGUACAGAACAAGCAAGCGUUCUUUAUUAUUAUUAUUAUAAAGAGUGUUCAGUUUGUUACUAUAUGUGCUUGCCCAUAAUUAAACUAACUAAACCAUGGGUUUUCUUUUCAGUUCAGACUUGGAUUUAGCGGGUCUAUGCGUCAUUGGGCGCAACGGGUUCACUACUUUGCUAAAUAUUCCACUUUAACUUUAGUGAUUGUUUGUAGUUGAUUUCUAGCUAUGAUUCACAUAUUCUACUUCUACGUCCAACCCAUGGCACGACUGGAGAGCGACGUAAGCGACGUCGACCGUGGCCUAUGCCCAGAGGUAUUUUGAUGUUGUGUCAAGAAUUUUGGCUAAUUGACGGCUCAAAUGAUUGCAAGCAUAUGAUCUUCUCAGCUCGAGCGAUUGCAGGCAUAUCGACUACAGGCAAACAUACAGACACAGAAGAUCUUUUGUUUUGGUUAAAUUGCAGUCAAGAUACUUACAUGCGACUCUUAUCUAGGCAUCUGAGAAUUCCCAAAUGGUGUAUGCUUCUGUUUUAGCCUGAUUUACGUUUCUACUGUAGGUGUAGCUCUAUGAGAGUACAAACUUUUUGCACCGUUGAAGAAAAGAACGUUUAUGCUUCAGUGUGGCUUGGUAGACAGGCCCUGUUGUGGGACAGGAACCUGAUAUUGUUGUUUUUUAUGUUGGAAGAAAUGAUGGUUUGAUCCGUGUGCAAUUGCAUUGGUUAUUUCUCAACCGGUGGAGAUCA